This 502-nucleotide ribosomal RNA is filed under the name uncultured bacterium. Its description in RNAcentral is "bacterial SSU rRNA". It matches the Rfam family "Bacterial small subunit ribosomal RNA", at positions 28 to 517 of the family's 1533-position model. The record is from RNAcentral.
GAUGAACGCUAGCUACAGGCUUAACACAUGCAAGUCGAGGGGAAACGACAUCGAAAGCUUGCUUUUGAUGGGCGUCGACCGGCGCACGGGUGAGUAGCGCGUAUCCAACCUGCCCACCACUUGGGGAUAACCUUGCGAAAGUAAGACUAAUACCCAAUGAUAUCCCACGAAGGCAUCCGAAUGGGAUUAAAGAUUUAUCGGUGAUGGAUGGGGAUGCGUCUGAUUAGCUUGUUGGCGGGGUAACGGCCCACCAAGGCAACGAUCAGUAGGGGUUCUGAGAGGAAGGUCCCCCACAUUGGAACUGAGACACGGUCCAAACUCCUACGGGAGGCAGCAGUGAGGAAUAUUGGUCAAUGGGCGAGAGCCUGAACCAGCCAAGUAGCGUGCAGGAUGACGGCCCUAUGGGUUGUAAACUGCUUUUAUAAGGGAAUAAAGUGAGUCUCGUGAGACUUUUUGCAUGUACCUUAUGAAUAAGGACCGGCUAAUUCCGUGCCAGCAGCCG